Molecule: ribosomal RNA, 502 nt
Filed under: uncultured bacterium
Lineage: Bacteria
Description: partial 16S ribosomal RNA
Rfam family: Bacterial small subunit ribosomal RNA
Source: RNAcentral
AUUGAACGCUGGCGGCAUGCCUUACACAUGCAAGUCGAACGGCAGCACGGGAGCUUGCUCCUGGUGGCGAGUGGCGAACGGGUGAGUAAAGUAUCGGAACAUGCCCUGAAGUGGGGGAUAACGUAGCGAAAGUUACGCUAAUACCGCAUAUUCUGUGAGCAGGAAAGCAGGGGAUCGCAAGACCUUGCGCUUUAGGAGUGGCCGAUAUCGGAUUAGCUAGUUGGUGAGGUAACGGCUCACCAAGGCGACGAUCCGUAGCGGGUCUGAGAGGGUGAUCAGCCACACUGGGGCGGGGACACGGCCCGGACUCCUACGGGAGGCAGCAGUGGGGAAUAUUGGACAAUGGGCGAAAGCCUGAUCCAGCCAUGCCGCGUGUGUGAAGAAGGUCUUCGGAUUGUAAAGCACUUUAAGUCGGGAGGAAGGGCUGUAGGCUAAUACCUUGCAGUUUUGACGUUACCGACAGAAUAAGCACCGGCUAACUUCGUGCCAGCCGCCGCCGUAA